RNAcentral lists this ribosomal RNA (885 nucleotides) under uncultured archaeon. RNAcentral's name for it is "bacterial SSU rRNA". It matches the Rfam family "Archaeal small subunit ribosomal RNA", at positions 30 to 922 of the family's 1478-position model. The record is from RNAcentral.
UCAACGGGAGGUACUAAGCCCUGCGAGUCAUUGUAGCAAUACAAGGCAGACGGCUCAGUAACGCGUAGUCAAUCUACCCUAUGGACGGGAAUAACCUCGGGAAACUGAGAAUAAUGCCCGAUAGAACAUUAUACCUGGAACGGUUUAUGUUUCAAAUGAUUUAUCGCCGUAGGAUGGGACUGCGGCCUAUCAGUUUGUUGGUGAGGUAAUGGCCCACCAAGACUAUUACAGGUACGGGCUCUGAGAGGAGUAGCCCGGAGAUGGGUACUGAGACACGGACCCAGGCCCUAUGGGGCGCAGCAGGCGAGAAAACUUUGCAAUGUGCGAAAGCACGACAAGGUUAAUCCGAGUGGUUUCUGCUAAAGAAACCUUUUGCUAGUCCUAGAAACACUAGUGAAUAAGGGGUGGGCAAGUUCUGGUGUCAGCCGCCGCGGUAAAACCAGCACCUCAAGUGGUCAGGAUGAUUAUUGGGCCUAAAGCAUCCGUAGCUCGUUUUGUAAGUUUUCGGUUAAAUCCAUACGCUCAACGUAUGGGCUGCCGGGAAUACUGCAUAACUAGGAAGUGGGAGAGGUAGACGGUACUCGGUAGGAAGGGGUAAAAUCCUUUGAUCUAUUGAUGACCACCUGUGGCGAAGGCGGUCUACCAGAACACGUUCGACGGUGAGGGAUGAAAGCUGGGGGAGCAAACCGGAUUAGAUACCCGGGUAGUCCCAGCUGUAAACUAUGCAAACUCAGUGAUGCAUUGGCUUGUGGCCAAUGCAGUGCUGCAGGGAAGCCGUUAAGUUUGCCGCCUGGGAAGUAUGUACGCAAGUAUGAAACUUAAAGGAAUUGGCGGGGGAGCACCACAAGGGGUGAAGCCUGCGGUUCAAUUGGAUUCAACGCCGGG